GAUGAACGCUGGCGGCGUGCCUAAUACAUGCAAGUAGAACGCUGAAGCUUGGUGCUUGCACCGAGCGGAUGAGUUGCGAACGGGUGAGUAACGCGUAGGUAACCUGCCUCUUAGCGGGGGAUAACUAUUGGAAACGAUAGCUAAUACCGCAUAAAAGUCGACAUUGCAUGAUGUUGACUUGAAAGGUGCAAUUGCAUCACUAAGAGAUGGACCUGCGUUGUAUUAGCUAGUUGGUGAGGUAACGGCUCACCAAGGCAACGAUACAUAGCCGACCUGAGAGGGUGAUCGGCCACACUGGGACUGAGACACGGCCCAGACUCCUACGGGAGGCAGCAGUAGGGAAUCUUCGGCAAUGGGGGCAACCCUGACCGAGCAACGCCGCGUGAGUGAAGAAGGUUUUCGGAUCGUAAAGCUCUGUUGUAAGAGAAGAACGAGUGUGAGAGUGGAAAGUUCACACUGUGACGGUAACUUACCAGAAAGGGACGGCUAACUACGUGCCAGCAGCCGCGGUAAUACGUAGGUCCCGAGCGUUGUCCGGAUUUAUUGGGCGUAAAGCGAGCGCAGGCGGUUAGAUAAGUCUGAAGUUAAAGGCUGUGGCUUAACCAUAGUACGCUUUGGAAACUGUUUAACUUGAGUGCAGAAGGGGAGAGUGGAAUUCCAUGUGUAGCGGUGAAAUGCGUAGAUAUAUGGAGGAACACCGGUGGCGAAAGCGGCUCUCUGGUCUGUAACUGACGCUGAGGCUCGAAAGCGUGGGGAGCAAACAGG
This 765-nucleotide ribosomal RNA is filed under the name uncultured Streptococcus sp. RNAcentral describes it as "bacterial SSU rRNA". It matches the Rfam family "Bacterial small subunit ribosomal RNA", at positions 28 to 776 of the family's 1533-position model. Lineage: Bacteria; Bacillati; Bacillota; Bacilli; Lactobacillales; Streptococcaceae. The record is from RNAcentral.